Myotis brandtii (Brandt's bat) is the source of this 75-nucleotide non-coding RNA. NCBI's taxonomy places the organism in Eukaryota, Metazoa, Chordata, Mammalia, Chiroptera, Vespertilionidae. The record is from Rfam.
GGGGGUUUUCGGGUGAUGCACCCUGGAAUCGGGCUCCCUCCUCUUGGGUUCUAGGUGCAUCACCUGAGAACUACA